UACGUAGGGGGCUAGCGUUGUCCGGAAUCAUUGGGCGUAAAGAGCGUGUAGGCGGCCCGGUAAGUCCGCUGUGAAAGUCGGGGGCUCAACCCUCGAAUGCCGGUGGAUACUGUCGGGCUAGAGUGCGGAAGAGGCGAGUGGAAUUCCUGGUGUAGCGGUGAAAUGCGCAGAUAUCAGGAGGAACACCGAUUGCGAAGGCAGCUCGCUGGGACGUCACUGACGCUGAGACGCGAAAGCCAGGGGAGCAAACGGG
This 253-nucleotide ribosomal RNA is filed under the name uncultured bacterium. Its description in RNAcentral is "partial 16S ribosomal RNA". It matches the Rfam family "Bacterial small subunit ribosomal RNA", at positions 524 to 776 of the family's 1533-position model. The record is from RNAcentral.